GAACAUAAGAGUUUGAUCCUGGCUCAGAUUGAACGCUGGCGGCAUGCUUUACACAUGCAAGUCGGACGGCAGCACGAGUACUUGUACUUGGUGGCGAGUGGCGAACGGGUGAGUAAUAUAUUGGAACGUACCGAGUAAUGGGGGAUAACUAUCCGAAAGGAUAGCUAAUACCGCAUACGCUUUGAGAAGGAAAGCAGGGGAUCUUCGGACCUUGCGUUAUUCGAGCGGCCAAUAACUGAUUAGCUAGUUGGUGGGGUAAGGGCCCACCAAGGCGACGAUCAGUAGCGGGUCUGAGAGGAUGAUCCGCCACACUGGGACUGAGACACGGCCCAGACUCCUACGGGAGGCAGCAGUGGGGAAUUUUGGAC
RNAcentral lists this ribosomal RNA (368 nucleotides) under Kingella kingae. RNAcentral describes it as "bacterial SSU rRNA". It matches the Rfam family "Bacterial small subunit ribosomal RNA", at positions 1 to 369 of the family's 1533-position model. The record is from RNAcentral. Lineage: Bacteria; Pseudomonadati; Pseudomonadota; Betaproteobacteria; Neisseriales; Neisseriaceae.